Molecule: long non-coding RNA, 2091 nt
Organism: Triticum aestivum (bread wheat)
Lineage: Eukaryota; Viridiplantae; Streptophyta; Magnoliopsida; Poales; Poaceae
Exons: 4
Source: RefSeq, a predicted model, not a curated record
UCUUGCUCGCUCAGCUCAGCCACUCGCUCGCUGGCUCCCGAACCCCUAGCUCACCGCCACCGGCGCCUCUCCGUCGCACGCGUCGCCGGCGCCUCUACCCCGCACGCAGCGCCUCCGCCUCUCCCUCUCGCGUCGUCGCCGCCUUUCCAUGGUGGCGGGGAUCUCCGGCGGCUGGAUCUGAAGCGCGGCUGCUCCACCUUCCUCAGGGUGGCGGGGAUCUCCGGCUCGCUGCGCAGGGGAAGGGCCCGACCGCCGGCGGCCGCUGCGGGCAGAAUGGGAACUCCGUCGGCGACGUCGUCGGCGUCGGCGUCCCAGGGACAGGGCACGGCGGCACGCACUGCCGUUGCCGCCGUCCGCCAGCGCGCCGCUGGCCGACAGGAGCAGCCACAGCCACGAGGCCACGACGAGCAGGACUGCCGGCGACGGGUUGGUGCAGUCCCGCGAGGACCGCGCCGUGUGGGAUGCCGAGACGACGUUGCCAGAGAAGGAGUCUCCGACUACCUCACGCCCACCGCUGGCCUGCACAUUAGGUCGACGAGCCCGUACGCCAGUGUGAGCAGCCUGGGUUGCCGGGUGCUCGCUGUCCGGCAGCACACCACGGCGCGACACGGGGUGGUGGAGGCCGAGCUCACCCAGGUCGAGACCAUAUGGUGGCAGUAGGAGGAGACUGAGCACCGUGUGGUGUGGGCGCCGAUUGAAAAUCACCAGCGAGUCCUACUUCAACUGCGAUGCAUUAUGGCGUGCCCAAAGUGAAGUCUGACCGCACUCUCCUUAAGGCAAGGGAUUUGGGUUUUGGCUAUCCGGAGACUUUGAAAGAUCAGUGGUAACAUACUUUUAGCCGUGAAGGGUGAAAUGCUCAAAUGUUUUUGUGCCAAUGAAAGAUCCAGCUUCCAUCUAUGCCGUGAAGGGUGAAAUGCUCAAAUCUUUAUUUUGUUUUCGUGGUACCCCUUUUGUGCCAAUGAAAGAUCUUCCUGACAGAGAGGGCUUAAGGAUCUUCCUGUCAGAGGAGUACAUUAUUUUGUUUGACAGGAGUAUUUCAAGAUCAAUACAUUAUUUUGUUUGACAGGAGGGCUUAAGGACCUAUCAUGGUGAUUUCAUAUUAAAAUUGAGGAGUACUCCUGUUCAUUUGGAGAACUCAAACAGCAAUUGAUAUGCAUCAAAAUUGGGAUCAACAGUAGCAUGGGGCCUUAUCAUUCUGGUUUUUGGAUGACUUAGUUAAUCAAAUUCCUCAAUUGAGGAACACCUGGACUUGUCAUUCCGGUCUUGGGAUAUGGACUUAUCAUUCUGGUUUUUGGAUGAUUUAGUUAAUCAAAUUGACAUCAAUUGACCUGUUUUUUGGAUCACUUGCAGAUUCUCUUGAUUGGAGUGGAGAGGAGCAGAGACGAGAGGAGCAGCAGAAGUGGACAGCGCAGCGGCUGACCUUGAGCUCUUGAUUGCAGUGGGGGGAGGCGGCCGGCGAAGGAUCUGUGGCCAGCAGCGAAGGAUCCAAAGCUGUGGCGGAGCAGGCAGCCGGCGGGAAGGGCGGCUGGCGAGGGAGCUGCGGACCGCGGCGGGGAAGGGCGACCGAUGAGGGAGCUGCGGACCACGGCGGGGGGAGCUGCGGACCGCGGCGGGGAAGGGCGACCGAUGAGGGAGCUGCGGACCACGGCGGGGAAGGGCGGCCGGCCGGCAAGGCAGCUGCGGACCGCGGCGGGGAAGGGCGGCCGGCCGGCAAGGCAGCUGCGGACCGCGGCAGGGAAGGAGCCCAGCGGAGGAGCGACGGCGGAGAAGCCUGGCGGAGGGGAGGAGCGACGGAGGAAGACGCCUCCCGGUCAAUUUCAAAUCAGGGGUAGUAUUGUACUUUCACACUGUAGUACUAAAACAAUGGUGUCAAGCUAUUGGGCCACACCAUUAGCCUUAUUGUAACAAUAUUUAAACAGCACCUUCCUGAUCAUAGUAGAUUGCUUCUGCUAAAACUUUCGGUGUUCAGUUGGAUGUUUGCAACUAAGAAUCUUACUCCCAUGGCUGUCUGGUCACACAAAAUUGUACCACUGCUAACAUGCAAAUUUGUAUGUAGUCCACAUUAAAAUAUGCAAAGCAUUUUAUUGUUAA